Molecule: ribosomal RNA, 253 nt
Filed under: uncultured prokaryote
Description: partial 16S ribosomal RNA
Rfam family: Bacterial small subunit ribosomal RNA
Source: RNAcentral
UACAGAAGCCUCAAGCGUUACCCGGAAUCACUGGGCGUAAAGGGUGUGUAGGUGGUGUGAUUAGUCGGGCGUUAAAUCCAGGGGCUCAACCUCUGGCUCGCGUUCGAAACGGUCACACUCGAGGAAGUGAGAGGUGUAUGGAACUCACGGUGUAGGGGUGAAAUCCGUUGAUAUCGUGGGGAACACCAAAAGCGAAGGCAGUACACUGGCACUCUCCUGACACUGAAACACGAAAGCGUGGGUAGCGAAUGGG